CCUACAUCUAGUGGAAAGCCUUCCCAGAAGAGUGGAGGCUGUUAUAGCAGCAAUGUUCCUACAUCUAGUGGAAAGCCUUCCCAGAGGAGAGGAGGCUGUUAUAGCAGCAAUGUUCCUACAUCUAGUGGGAAGCCUUCCCAGAAGAGAGGAGGCUGUUAUAGCAGCAAUGUUCCAACAUCUAGUGGAAAGCCUUCCCAGGAGAGUGGAGGCUGUUAUAGCAGCAAUGUUCCUACAUCUAGUGGGAAGCCUUCCCAGAAGAGAGGAGGCUGUUAUACCAACUCCACAUUAAUGCCCAUCGACGAGCAGAGUGGAGGCUGUUAUAGCAAAUGGGGACCAACUCCACAUUAAUGCCCAUCGACGAGCAGAGUGGAGGCUGUUAUACCAACUCCACAUUAAUGCCCAUCGACGAGCAGAGUGGAGGCUGUUAUAGCAAAGGGGACCAACUCCACAUUAAUGCCCAUCGACGAGCAGAGUGGAGGCUGUUAUACCAACUCCACAUUAAUGCCCAUCGACGAGCAGGUGUCCACAUACUUUUAGUCAUGUAAUAUACCUACCAGAUCAGAUCUCUAUUAAGGAACAUUUUCAUGUGUCGUUUUAGACUGUAACUAACUUAUACAUUAAACAUGAAUUGCGUAUUACCAGCCUGAUUAAGCCGAAUAGCCAGUUACCGGCUAUCAAAAGCACACUUUCACCCAAAUAUCAUACUCACACAACGCCUUUAUUUCCAUUUGACAGCUAACAAGCUAACACCGGUAGACAGCUAACAGUAAACUAGCUCGUUUUUACUAACGUUACGCUGGUUUAUUCUAACCAACCUGUACAAUUUGAUUGUCCAUAUCUUCAUCCAAUACUCUUCCGUUAACAGACGAAGUCAUAGUUUUUUUUGUGUGUGUUUUUAAUCAGUGCAUGUCUACCAGCAGAGAACUUCAUGUGACUGGAACGACCGGAAGUAAAACGCUGCGUUUCACCGGAACAUUGAGGACGGAACAUUUUCCGGAAGUCACACCUACAAAGUCUUCCCCAGAGAGGGUUGUCUUCCCUAUAAAAAAAAACGAAUGUAAUUUCACUCCAAAAUGGUUCAUACUAGCUAAUAAAAUAAAUAAAUGAUUUCAAUUCUCCUUUAGGGCCUCAAUUGGCAAUUAUUG
Oncorhynchus tshawytscha (Chinook salmon) is the source of this 1145-nucleotide long non-coding RNA. The record is from Ensembl. Lineage: Eukaryota; Metazoa; Chordata; Actinopteri; Salmoniformes; Salmonidae.